CAAUAGCGUAUAUUAAAGUUGUUGCGGUUAAAAAGCUCGUAGUUGGAUUUCUGCUGAGAACGACCGGUCCGCCCUUUGGGUGUGUAUCUGGCUCUUUCUUGGCAUCUUCUUGGUGAACGUUGCUGCACUUGACUGUGUGGAGCGCUACCCAGGACUUUUACUUUGAGGAAAUUAGAGUGUUUCAAGCAGGCAUACGCCUUGAAUACAUUAGCAUGGAAUAAUAAGAUAGGACCUCGGUUCUAUUUUGUUGGUUUCUAGAGCUGAGGUAAUGAUUAAUAGGGAUAGUUGGGGGCAUUCGUAUUUAACUGUCAGAGGUGAAAUUCUUGGAUUUGUUAAAGACGAACUAGUGCGAAAGCAUUUGCCAAGGAUGUUUUCAUUGA
RNAcentral lists this ribosomal RNA (380 nucleotides) under uncultured eukaryote. RNAcentral's name for it is "partial 18S ribosomal RNA". It matches the Rfam family "Eukaryotic small subunit ribosomal RNA", at positions 592 to 976 of the family's 1831-position model. The record is from RNAcentral.